Molecule: ribosomal RNA, 253 nt
Filed under: uncultured bacterium
Lineage: Bacteria
Description: partial 16S ribosomal RNA
Rfam family: Bacterial small subunit ribosomal RNA
Source: RNAcentral
UACGUAGGUGGCAAGCGUCGUCCGGAAUUAUUGGGCGUAAAGCGCGCGCAGGCGGUUUCUUAAGUCUGAUGUGAAAGCCCCCGGCUUAACCGGGGAGGGUCAUUGGAAACUGGGAGACUUGAGUGCAGAAGAGGAAAGUGGAAUUCCAAGUGUAGCGGUGAAAUGCGUAGAGAUUUGGAGGAACACCAGUGGCGAAGGCGACUUUCUGGUCUGUUACUGACGCUGAGGCGCGAAAGCGUGGGGAGCAAACAGG